GGGUUGUGAGGUUAAGCGACUAAGCGUACACGGUGGAUGCCCUGGCAGUCAGAGGCGAUGAAGGACGUGCUAAUCUGCGAAAAGCGUCGGUAAGGUGAUAUGAACCGUUACAGCCGGCGAUGUCCGAAUGGGGAAACCCAGUGCAAUUCGUUGCACUAUCGUUAACUGAAUACAUAGGUUAACGAGGCGAACCGGGGGAACUGAAACAUCUAAGUACCCCGAGGAAAAGAAAUCAACCGAGAUUCCCCCAGUAGCGGCGAGCGAACGGGGAGCAGCCCGGAGUCUGAAUCAGCUUGUGUGUUAGUGGAAGCGUCUGGAAAGUCGCAGGGUACAGGGUGAUACUCCCGUACACUAAAACGCACAGGUUGUGAACUCGAAGAGUAGGGCGGGACACGUGGUAUCCUGUCUGAAUAUGGGGGGACCAUCCUCCAAGGCUAAAUACUCCUGACUGACCGAUAGUGAACCAGUACCGUGAGGGAAAGGCGAAAAGAACCCCGGCGAGGGGAGUGAAAAAGAACCUGAAACCGUGUACGUACAAGCAGUAGGAGCCCACUUGUUGGGUGACUGCGUACCUUUUGUAUAAUGGGUCAGCGACUUAUAUUCUGUAGCAAGGUUAACCGUAUAGGGGAGCCGCAGGGAAACCGAGUCUUAACUGGGCGUUAAGUUGCAGGGUAUAGACCCGAAACCCGGUGAUCUAGCCAUGGGCAGGUUGAAGGUUGGGUAACACUAACUGGAGGACCGAACCGACUAAUGUUGAAAAAUUAGCGGAUGACUUGUGGCUGGGGGUGAAAGGCCAAUCAAACCGGGAGAUAGCUGGUUCUCCCCGAAAGCUAUUUAGGUAGCGCCUCGUGAACUCAUCUUCGGGGGUAGAGCACUGUUUCGGCUAGGGGGUCAUCCCGACUUACCAACCCGAUGCAAACUACGAAUACCGAAGAAUGUUAUCACGGGAGACACACGGCGGGUGCUAACGUCCGUCGUGAAGAGGGAAACAACCCAGACCGCCAGCUAAGGUCCCAAAGUCAUGGUUAAGUGGGAAACGAUGUGGGAAGGCCCAGACAGCCAGGAUGUUGGCUUAGAAGCAGCCAUCAUUUAAAGAAAGCGUAAUAGCUCACUGGUCGAGUCGGCCUGCGCGGAAGAUGUAACGGGGCUAAACCAUGCACCGAAGCUGCGGCAGCGACACUAUGUGUUGUUGGGUAGGGGAGCGUUCUGUAAGCCGUUGAAGGUGGCCUGUGAGGGUUGCUGGAGGUAUCAGAAGUGCGAAUGCUGACAUAAGUAACGAUAAUGCGGGUGAAAAACCCGCACGCCGGAAGACCAAGGGUUCCUGUCCAACGUUAAUCGGGGCAGGGUGAGUCGACCCCUAAGGCGAGGCCGAAAGGCGUAGUCGAUGGGAAACAGGUUAAUAUUCCUGUACUCGGUGUUACUGCGAAGGGGGGACGGAGAAGGCUAUGUUGGCCGGGCGACGGUUGUCCCGGUUUAAGCAUGUAGGCGGAUGUUCCAGGUAAAUCCGGAACGUCACUAACGCUGAGGUGUGAUGACGAGGCACUACGGUGCUGAAGUGACAAAUGCCCUGCUUCCAGGAAAAGCCUCUAAGCAUCAGGUAACAUCAAAUCGUACCCCAAACCGACACAGGUGGUCAGGUAGAGAAUACCAAGGCGCUUGAGAGAACUCGGGUGAAGGAACUAGGCAAAAUGGUGCCGUAACUUCGGGAGAAGGCACGCUGAUGGUAGGUGAAGCGACUUGCUCGUGGAGCUGAAAUCAGUCGAAGAUACCAGCUGGCUGCAACUGUUUAUUAAAAACACAGCACUGUGCAAACACGAAAGUGGACGUAUACGGUGUGACGCCUGCCCGGUGCCGGAAGGUUAAUUGAUGGGGUUAUCCGUAAGGAGAAGCUCUUGAUCGAAGCCCCGGUAAACGGCGGCCGUAACUAUAACGGUCCUAAGGUAGCGAAAUUCCUUGUCGGGUAAGUUCCGACCUGCACGAAUGGCGUAAUGAUGGCCAGGCUGUCUCCACCCGAGACUCAGUGAAAUUGAACUCGCUGUGAAGAUGCAGUGUACCCGCGGCAAGACGGAAAGACCCCGUGAACCUUUACUAUAGCUUGACACUGAACACUGGUCCUUGAUGUGUAGGAUAGGUGGGAGGCUUUGAAGUGUGGACGCCAGUCUGCAUGGAGCCAUCCUUGAAAUACCACCCUUUAAUGGCUGGUGUUCUAACGUGGGCCCCUAAUCGGGGUUGCGGACAGUGUCUGGUGGGUAGUUUGACUGGGGCGGUCUCCUCCUAAAGAGUAACGGAGGAGCACGAAGGUCAGCUAAUCCUGGUCGGACAUCAGGAGGUUAGUGCAAUGGCAUAAGCUGGCUUGACUGCGAGCGUGACGGCGCGAGCAGGUGCGAAAGCAGGUCAUAGUGAUCCGGUGGUUCUGAAUGGAAGGGCCAUCGCUCAACGGAUAAAAGGUACUCCGGGGAUAACAGGCUGAUACCGCCCAAGAGUUCAUAUCGACGGCGGUGUUUGGCACCUCGAUGUCGGCUCAUCACAUCCUGGGGCUGAAGUAGGUCCCAAGGGUAUGGCUGUUCGCCAUUUAAAGUGGUACGCGAGCUGGGUUUAGAACGUCGUGAGACAGUUCGGUCCCUAUCUGCCGUGGGCGCUGGAGAAUUGAGGGGGGCUGCUCCUAGUACGAGAGGACCGGAGUGGACGCAUCACUGGUGUUCGGGUUGUCAUGCCAAUGGCAUUGCCCGGUAGCUAAAUGCGGAAGAGAUAAGUGCUGAAAGCAUCUAAGCACGAAACUUGCCCCGAGAUGAGUUCUCCCUGACUCCUUGAGAGUCCUGAAGGAACGUUGAAGACGACGACGUUGAUAGGCCGGGUGUGUAAGCGCAGCGAUGCGUUGAGCUAACCGGUACUAAUGAACCGUGAGGCUUAACCUUACAACGCCGAAG
RNAcentral lists this ribosomal RNA (2927 nucleotides) under Klebsiella michiganensis. RNAcentral describes it as "bacterial LSU rRNA". It matches the Rfam family "Bacterial large subunit ribosomal RNA". The record is from RNAcentral. Lineage: Bacteria; Pseudomonadati; Pseudomonadota; Gammaproteobacteria; Enterobacterales; Enterobacteriaceae.